GAUGAACGCUGGCGGCGUGCCUAAUACAUGCAAGUCGAGCGGACGGACGAUAAGCUUGCUUCUCUGAUGUUAGCGGCGGACGAGUGAGUAACACGUGGAUAACCUUCCUAUAAGACUUGGAUAACGUCGGGAAACCGGAGCUAAUACCGGGUAAUAUUUUGAACCGCAUGGUUCAAAAGUGAAAUACGUUCUUGAUGUCACCUAGAGAUGUAUCCGCGCUGCAUUAGCCAGUUGGUAAGGUAACGGCUUACCAGGGCAACGAUGCAUAGCCGACCUGAGAGGGUGAACGGCCCCGUAGAAACUGAGACAGCGUCGAGACUCCUACAGGCGGCAGCAAUAGCGAAGCUUGCGAAAAGGGCGAAAGCGUGCUGGAGGAGCGCAACGUGAGUGAUGAAGGUCUGCGGAUCGUAAAACUCCCUUAUGAGGGAAAAACCUAUGUGCAAGUAACUGUGCACAUCUUGACGGUACCUAAUCAGAAAGCCACGGCUAACUACGUG
Molecule: ribosomal RNA, 497 nt
Filed under: uncultured bacterium
Lineage: Bacteria
Description: partial 16S ribosomal RNA
Rfam family: Bacterial small subunit ribosomal RNA
Source: RNAcentral